This is a long non-coding RNA of Gambusia affinis (western mosquitofish), 763 nucleotides long. RefSeq lists it as uncharacterized. The transcript has 3 exons. The record is from RefSeq and is a predicted model, not a curated record. NCBI's taxonomy places the organism in Eukaryota, Metazoa, Chordata, Actinopteri, Cyprinodontiformes, Poeciliidae.
GAUGUGGAAAAUAUGAACUUAUAUGCACAUGUCCGAUGCAGUUUUCUUAUUCAAAUAAAUAACAUGGAAAAGGAGCAACCUCUGUUCCUUAGAAACAGGGAACAACAGUGGAAGCGUUGUUCUAGUGUUGUUCCAACUGGGUCACUCCUCUUGAGCGUUGAGCUAAAACUGUGGGACGGUUAAUCGAUAUCUGAAGAGGACAUUGUGCAGCCUAAAUGAAUCACUGCACACUGUUUAAUUUAGGCAAUGCCUUUUUCCAAUUACGGUUCAGAUUCUAAAUCUCAUUGCAAGUCAAUUGGAUCUUGGAAGACAGUUGUAUUUUUCUCAGUGGUUACUUUGCACCUGAGGCACAUUCAGACAGGUCACAUGUUUUUCUAACAUUACAACACAAUAAUUAUACUCUCUCAAUGUGACAGAUGGUGUCAUGGUAUUAUGCUGUUCCUAAAGAAAAUGAAAAUGGCUGCCAGAAGUUCAAUCUCUCUGUGCAUCUGAUCCCAGAAAUAUUGGAUGAGGAUAGGAAGACAUACAGACUUAGGAUAGAUGUUUUGUAUAAGGACAGGGAUCAAGACGCAACCAUGUCAAUCUUGAACAUCGGUCUUCUGACGGGCUUCACUGUUGACACGCAGGAUCUUGACUUGGUGACAGAUUGAGAUAUAUGAACAUAGAAAAUGUUACCGUUAAGCAUUAGACGCUUUUGAUACUCCGAGGUCUGUUUGGUUUAUUAGAUGAUUCAGGCCACGUGUUUAUUCGUGUGUACAGUUGU